GUGGUGGAUGCCUUGGCGAUCACAGGCGAUGAAGGACGUGCGAGCCUGCGAAAAGCUCCGGGGAGCUGGCAACGAAGCUUUGAUCCGGAGAUGUCCGAAUGGGGAAACCCACCCUUCGGGGUAUCCUGGCCUGAAUACAUAGGGCCAGAGAAGCGAACCGGGUGAACUGAAACAUCUCAGUAGCUCGAGGAAAAGAAAUCAACCGAGAUUCCCAAAGUAGUGGCGAGCGAAAUGGGACAAGCCUGCACGAUUUAGCAGAACGGUUAAGAGAACGGAUUGGAAACUCCGGCCAUAGAGGGUGAUAGCCCGUAUUUGAAAACCGAUUGUGGAACUAGGCGUGCGACAAGUAGGGCGGACACGUGUAAUCCUGUCUGAAGAUGGGGGGACAGUCCUCCAAGGCUAAAUACUACGUGAUCGACCGAUAGUGAACCAGUACCGUGA
Molecule: ribosomal RNA, 441 nt
Filed under: uncultured bacterium
Lineage: Bacteria
Description: bacterial LSU rRNA
Rfam family: Bacterial large subunit ribosomal RNA
Source: RNAcentral